AUAUAAAUGUAAAUGUUAAAUGUAAAUGUAAAUCUAAAUGUUCCGCCUAAAUGUUAAAUAUAAAUGUUGACUUUAAAUGUUUGGGAAAUAUGCUAAUGAGGCCACGCCCCUCACCGAAUAGAGCGGUCCUUGUUCAGACGAAAGUUGAACCUUAAUCAUGGCAAACUCUUUGAGACCUGAGGAUAUUGAAAGGGCCGUUGUUUCAGGAGUGCGAGCUGCAUUGCAAGGUGUCCUGGCACCUACACCUGCUGCUGCAAAUCUGGUUAACACAUCAUCACCAUCCACAAGUUCUGCCGCUUCACACAGACCGGUCAACACUCUGCCGCCGCCCAUAGCAUUCACAAGUUCAGCCACAUCUGCAGGGGCUGGCACAUCCCAGAGAUUGGCAAGAACUGAAUGACUUAUUUACUUUUAAUGAGUAGAAUUACCAUCAACUUUGUUGUGAAAGUGUACCUUUUAAGAUGUUUUUUUAUUUGUUCGCUGAAUAGAUUAUUUUUUGUUACCGAAUAUAUAUUCCUGUUUAUAUGAGUUCUGGGUAACGCUUUCUUUUACAGUACAGUA
Oryzias latipes (Japanese medaka) is the source of this 561-nucleotide long non-coding RNA. RefSeq lists it as uncharacterized. Lineage: Eukaryota; Metazoa; Chordata; Actinopteri; Beloniformes; Adrianichthyidae. The record is from RefSeq and is a predicted model, not a curated record.